UACGUAGGGGGCAAGCGUUGUCCGGAUUUAUUGGGCGUAAAGAGCGUGUAGGCGGCCAUACAGGUCAGCUGUGAAAACUCGAGGCUCAACCUCGAGACGUCGGUUGAAACCGUAUGGCUAGAGUCCGGAAGAGGAGAGUGGAAUUCCUGGUGUAGCGGUGAAAUGCGCAGAUAUCGGGAAGAACACCCGUGGCGAAGGCGGCUCUCUGGGACGGUACUGACGCUGAGACGCGAAAGCGUGGGGAGCGAACAGG
This 253-nucleotide ribosomal RNA is filed under the name uncultured bacterium. RNAcentral's name for it is "partial 16S ribosomal RNA". It matches the Rfam family "Bacterial small subunit ribosomal RNA", at positions 524 to 776 of the family's 1533-position model. The record is from RNAcentral.